AGGAUGUUGUCAUCAUUAAUACAAUUUAUUAAUAGGAUAGCUAUACAAAUAGUAGCAACAUCUAGAGCAUCUUAGCUUAAGUAUAUGUGUCUGUGAUUAUAUGAUUGAAAACAACUCUUUUUAGCUCUACUUUGACACUCAGUUGCAUAAUA
This is a small nucleolar RNA of Tetrahymena thermophila SB210, 152 nucleotides long. It matches the Rfam family "Tetrahymena snoRNA TtnuHACA3". Lineage: Eukaryota; Ciliophora; Oligohymenophorea; Hymenostomatida; Tetrahymenidae. The record is from Rfam.